This 1269-nucleotide long non-coding RNA is filed under the name Apteryx haastii (Great spotted kiwi). Its description in RNAcentral is "lncRNA (ENSAHAG00000019676.1)". The record is from RNAcentral. Lineage: Eukaryota; Metazoa; Chordata; Aves; Apterygiformes; Apterygidae.
GGGGGCACAGGCACUUGCGGCAUCCGCAGAGGAGCCAGCCCACGGGGCGCUCCGAAUGCCAGGAGUUAUCGCCCGCCGGGGCCUGCGGGAUCAGCGACGUACACAGGCUGGGCUGGGAUAACUGCGGAGCAGCGUCCGGGGAGAAGGCGGCCCGGCCGCGGCUGUCCAAUCCCCGGCAGACACUUGGAGAGCAGCCGCGGCCGGGCGGCUGGAGCGAGUGCGUGGAGCCCCGGGGAAGGGGCUUGCGGGGGGCUGCAGCGGCGGGGGGGGAAGGCCGGGGGGGCUGCAGGGGCCUGGGGUGGGGAGCGUGGCCCCGGGGGGCUGCGGCACGGCCCCGAGCCCAGGCCCUCGCGCACAAAGAGCCGGGCAGGGCGGCUGGGAGCUGGGGCCGGAGAGCUGGCGCGUGGCCAGCCAGCGCGGGCGAAAGGGUUAAGGAGCUCUGGUGGGCAUGGGGGAGGGCUGGUCAGGCCGGGGGAGAGGAAGGAAGCAGAGGAGGAGAAGAGCAUCCUGCCCAGAGGGCUUGCCGGGGGCCCCUUUCCCCUGGGAAGCGGCUCGCGAGGCCCGAGACCGAGGCUUGCAGCCGCUCUGGAUGGAGCCGUGAAGAGCCGCGCGGAGCGAGCUGGGCGCAGCCCCUCUCCGUGCCCGGUGGCACCGCUGCGCCGUGCCCGCAGCCUGCGGCCCGGGGCCUGGGCCGGCCCUGCUUUGCAGGCAGACGGGGCUGCCUGCUCCCCGUGCGGCAGCAGCCCCGGCCUCGCAGGCCCUGCGGCGCUGCGGCCUCCCUGCGCUGCGGCCUCCCUGCCCCCUCCGGGGGGCCUGCCGCAACGAGCAGGCCACGAGCAGCCCCAGCACACACCAGCGCAUGGGGGGACGGGACCCCCCGGGCUGGUGCGCUGGGCACCGGCAGAGCAUGGGGGGCUGGGACCCCUGGAGCUGGCACACUGGUCACCAGCAGGGCACGGGCAGAUGGGACCCCAGUGCUGGCAUGCUGGACACCGGCAGGGCUUGGGGAGAUGGGACCCCCGGAGCUGGCGCACUGGGCACCAACAGGGCAUGGGGGGGACAGGACUCCCAGAGCUGGUGCACCAGGCACUGGCAGGGUAUGGGGGGGGGGGUGACAGGACCCCCAGAGCUGGUGCACUGGGCACCAACAGGGCAUGGGGGGGACAGGACCCCCAGAGCUGGUGCACUGGGCACCAACAGGGCAUGGGGGGGACAGGACCCCCAGAGCUGGUGCACCAGGCACUGGCAGGGUAUGGGGGGUGUGGGUGA